This 119-nucleotide ribosomal RNA is filed under the name Gadus morhua (Atlantic cod). Lineage: Eukaryota; Metazoa; Chordata; Actinopteri; Gadiformes; Gadidae. The record is from RNAcentral.
GCUUACGGCCAUACCACCCUGAACACGCCCGAUCUCGUCUGAUCUCGGAAGCUAAGCAGGGUCGCGCCUGGUUAGUACUUGGAUGGGAGACCGCCUGGGAAUACCAGGUGCUGUAAGCU